GGGGAUGUACUGGAUUCGACGGGAGACCUUGGCGGCAAAAAGCAUGCAGAAGCGCCGAGCUUCUUUAAAAUCGGCAAAAAAAUUAAACGCUAACUCAAAAACAGAAUUAGCAUUCGCAGCUUAAUUUAAGUUGCCGCCGGCAAGCCGCGCCUACGGCGGUUUGCGCGGGCGUCAUAACUUGUGGGGUUUGUUUGGCUGUUUUGUCCUUUCGGUCAGGCGGACUAUCAAAAAGGGCUUGUUCGUCCAAACUUUUGGCCGCUAGGGGUUGGACGAAGACAUAGCUUAGCGGCUAAGCAUGUAGAAAGUUGCCAGUCAAUUCUUUCGGACCGGGGUUCAACUCCCCGCAUCUCCACCA
RNAcentral lists this transfer-messenger RNA (355 nucleotides) under Clostridiales bacterium. It matches the Rfam family "transfer-messenger RNA". Rfam says of the family: Bacterial tmRNA, also known as 10Sa RNA or SsrA, is named for its dual tRNA and mRNA-like properties. The record is from RNAcentral. Lineage: Bacteria; Bacillati; Bacillota; Clostridia; Eubacteriales. RNAcentral also lists the same sequence under 1 other name.